GGGGAACCCACCGGUCGUGAUGGGCCGGUACCGCUAUCUGAAUGUAUAGGAUAGACGGAGGGAACCUGGGGAACUGAAACAUCUCAGUACCUGGAGGAGAAGAAAACAAGAGUGAUUCCGCAAGUAGUGGCGAGCGAACGCGGAAGAGCCUAAACCAUGAUGGUGGAGAAGGGGACCCCCGUUGCCAUCAUGGGGUAGAGGGGAUGCGCAGCCAGGCAGGGUCUUGCCUGGGCCGAAGGAGACAAGGGAGCCAAACGACAUGGGAAGGUCGGCCAGAGCGGGUGAGAGCCCCGUAGGCGAAGCUUGUCGAGGGAGGUAGCGCAGGCCCCAAGUACCGCGGGACACGAGGAACCCCGUGGGAAUCCGGGAGGACCACCUCCUAAGGCUAAAUACUCCCUGGCAACCGAUAGCGGAGAGUACCGUGAGGGAAAGGUGAAAAGAACCGCGGGAGCGGAGUGAAAGAGAACCUGAAACCGUGUGCUUACAAGCAGUCGGAGUCCGAAAGGAUGACGGCGUGCCUUUUGUAGAAUGAACCGGCGAGUGAUGGUGAUNAGCGAGGUUAAGGCAGGGAAGCCGGAGCCGAAGCGAAAGCGAGUCUGAAGAGGGCGAGAAGUUGAUUGCCAUCGACCCGAAACCGGGUGAGCUACCCCUGGUCAGGGUGAAGUGCGGGUAACACCGCAUGGAGGCCCGAACCCACCGGCGUUGAAAAGCCGGGGGAUGAACUGGGGGUAGGGGAGAAAUUCCAAUCGAACCCGGAGAUAGCUGGUUCUCCCCGAAAUAGCUUUAGGGCUAGCGUCACGGAUGAGGGACGGAGGUAGAGCACCGAUGGGGUGCGGGGCCCGACCAGGGUUACCAAGCUCCGUCGAACUCCGAAUGCCGUUUCAUUGAACCGUGGCAGUCAGACUGCGAGUGCUAAGAUCCGUAGUCAAGAGGGAAACAGCCCAGACCAACAGCUAAGGUCCCCAAGGGUGGUUAAGUGGGAAACGAUGUGGCGGUGCAUAGACAACCAGGAUGUUGGCUUAGAAGCAGCCAUCAUUGAAAGAGUGCGUAAUAGCUCACUGGUCGAGUGACGCUGCGCGGAAAAUGUAACGGGGCUAAACCACACACCGAAGCUAUGGCUGUGGGAAGACCACAGGGUAGGGGAGCGUUCCAUAAGCGGAGAAGCCUUCUUGAGAGGGAAGGUGGAGGUUAUGGAAGUGAGAAUGCCGGUAUGAGUAGCGAAAAGAGGGGUGAGAAUCCCCUCCGCCGAAAGCCCAAGGUUUCCUGGGGAAGGAUCGUCCACCCAGGGUUAGUCGGGACCUAAGGCGAGGCCGAGAGGCGUAGUCGAAGGAGAACGGGUUGAGAAUCCCGUACCAGAUGGAUUUGCAUGACUGAAGGGGUGACGCAGGAGGCUAGAGCGAGCGGCCGGAUGGAAGAGGCCGUCCAAUCCGCAAGGGGGUCGCGCAGGGAAAACCGCGCGGCGAGAACUCUGAGCGGUGAUGGGGAGGGAAGAAGAGUACCGAAGCGCUCGAGGUCACACUGCCAAGAAAAGCCUCUAGGGAGAAUGCAUCUGCCCGUACCGGAAACCGACACAGGUGGGCGCGUGGAGAACACGGAGGCGCGCGGGAGCACUCUCGUUAAGGAACUCGGCAAAAUGGCCCCGUAACUUNGGGAGAAGGGGCGCUCUGAAGAAGAGCCGCAGUGAAAAGGCCCAAGCGACUGUUUAGCAAAAACACAGGUCUCUGCGAAGCCGAAAGGCGAAGUAUAGGGGCUGACGCNUGCCCGGUGCUGGAAGGUUAAGAGGAGGGGUGAGGGCGAGAGCCCGAAGCUCUGAAUUGAAGCCCCCAGUAAACGGCGGCCGUAACUAUAACGGUCCUAAGGUAGCGAAAUUCCUUGUCAGGUAAGUUCUGACCCGCACGAAAGGCGUAACGACUUGGGCGCUGUCUCAACGAGAGACCCGGUGAAAUUGUAAUACCUGUGAAGAUGCAGGUUACCCGCGGCUAGACGGAAAGACCCCGUGGAGCUUGACUGUAGCUUGAUAUGGGAGACGGGCAUGUCAUGUACAGGAUAGGUGGGAGACACAGAAGCAUGGGCGCCAGCCUGUGUGGAGUCGAUGUUGGGAUACCACCCUUGAGAUGCUAGUCUUCUAACCUGGCACCCUGAAUCGGGUGUGGGGACAGUGUCAGGCGGACAGUUUGACUGGGGCGGUCGCCUCCUAAAAGGUAACGGAGGCGCCCAAAGGUUCCCUCAGCGCGGAUGGAAACCGCGCGGGGCGUGUAAAGGCACAAGGGAGCUUGACUGCGAGACGGACAGGUCGAGCAGGGACGAAAGUCGGGCUUAGUGACCCGGUGGCACUGCGUGGAAGGGCCAUCGCUCAACGGAUAAAAGCUACCCCGGGGAUAACAGGCUGAUCUCCCCCAAGAGUCCACAUCGACGGGGAGGUUUGGCACCUCGAUGUCGGCUCAUCGCAUCCUGGGGCUGAAGUCGGUCCCAAGGGUUGGGCUGUUCGCCCAUGAAAGCGGUACGCGAGCUGGGUUCAGAACGUCGUGAGAC
RNAcentral lists this ribosomal RNA (2532 nucleotides) under Alicyclobacillus tolerans. Its description in RNAcentral is "bacterial LSU rRNA". It matches the Rfam family "Bacterial large subunit ribosomal RNA", at positions 121 to 2627 of the family's 2925-position model. Lineage: Bacteria; Bacillati; Bacillota; Bacilli; Caryophanales; Alicyclobacillaceae. The record is from RNAcentral.